CCAGACUCCUACGGGAGGCAGCAGUGGGGAAUAUUGGACAAUGGGGGGAACCCUGAUCCAGCGACGCCGCGUGAGUGAAGAAGUAUUUCGGUAUGUAAAGCUCUAUCAGCAGGGAAGAAAGAAAUGACAGUACCUGACUAAGAAGCCCCGGCUAACUACGUGCCAGCAGCCGCGGUAAUACGUAGGGGGCAAGCGUUAUCCGGAUUUACUGGGUGUAAAGGGGGCGCAGACGGCAGCGCAAGCCAGGAGUGAAAGCCCGGGGCCCAACCCCGGGACUGCUCUUGGAACUGCGCGGCUGGAGUGCAGGAGGGGCAGGCGGAAUUCCUGGUGUAGCGGUGAAAUGCGUAGAUAUCAGGAGGAACACCGGUGGCGAAGGCGGCCUGCUGGACUGCGACUGACGUUGAGGCCCGAAAGCGUGGGGAGCAAACAGGAUUAGAUACCCGAGUA
Molecule: ribosomal RNA, 447 nt
Filed under: uncultured bacterium
Lineage: Bacteria
Description: partial 16S ribosomal RNA
Rfam family: Bacterial small subunit ribosomal RNA
Source: RNAcentral